GCCUGAUGGAGGGGGAUAACUACUGGAAACGGUGGCUAAUACCGCAUAACGUCGCAAGACCAAAGAGGGGGACCUUCGGGCCUCUUGCCAUCAGAUGUGCCCAGAUGGGAUUAGCUUGUUGGUGAGGUAACGGCUCACCAAGGCGACGAUCCCUAGCUGGUCUGAGAGGAUGACCAGCCACACUGGAACUGAGACACGGUCCAGACUCCUACGGGAGGCAGCAGUGGGGAAUAUUGCACAAUGGGCGCAAGCCUGAUGCAGCCAUGCCGCGUGUAUGAAGAAGGCCUUCGGGUUGUAAAGUACUUUCAGCGGGGAGGAAGGUGUUGUGGUUAAUAACCGCAGCAAUUGACGUUACCCGCAGAAGAAGCACCGGCUAACUCCGUGCCAGCAGCCGCGGUAAUACGGAGGGUGCAAGCGUUAAUCGGAAUUACUGGGCGUAAAGCGCACGCAGGCGGUCUGUCAAGUCGGAUGUGAAAUCCCCGGGCUCAACCUGGGAACUGCAUUCGAAACUGGCAGGCUUGAGUCUUGUAGAGGGGGGUAGAAUUCCAGGUGUAGCGGUGAAAUGCGUAGAGAUCUGGAGGAAUACCGGUGGCGAAGGCGGCCCCCUGGACAAAGACUGACGCUCAGGUGCGAAAGCGUGGGGAGCAAACAGGAUUAGAUACCCUGGUAGUCCACGCCGUAAACGAUGUCUACUUGGAGGUUGUGCCCUUGAGGCGUGGCUUCCGGAGCUAACGCGUUAAGUAGACCGCCUGGGGAGUACGGCCGCAAGGUUAAAACUCAAAUGAAUUGACGGGGGCCCGCACAAGCGGUGGAGCAUGUGGUUUAAUUCGAUGCAACGCGAAGAACCUUACCUGGUCUUGACAUCCACGGAACUUUCCAGAGAUGGAUUGGUGCCUUCGGGAACCGUGAGACAGGUGCUGCAUGGCUGUCGUCAGCUCGUGUUGUGAAAUGUUGGGUUAAGUCCCGCAACGAGCGCAACCCUUAUCCUUUGUUGCCAGCG
Molecule: ribosomal RNA, 1000 nt
Filed under: Salmonella enterica subsp. enterica serovar Montevideo
Lineage: Bacteria; Pseudomonadati; Pseudomonadota; Gammaproteobacteria; Enterobacterales; Enterobacteriaceae
Description: bacterial SSU rRNA
Rfam family: Bacterial small subunit ribosomal RNA
Source: RNAcentral